This 569-nucleotide ribosomal RNA is filed under the name uncultured bacterium. RNAcentral describes it as "partial 16S ribosomal RNA". It matches the Rfam family "Bacterial small subunit ribosomal RNA", at positions 355 to 914 of the family's 1533-position model. The record is from RNAcentral.
UGGGGAAUUUUGGACAAUGGGCGAAAGCCUGAUCCAGCAAUGCCGCGUGUGUGAAGAAGGCCUUCGGGUUGUAAAGCACUUUUGUCCGGAAAGAAAUCCUUGGCUCUAAUACAGUCGGGGGAUGACGGUACCGGAAGAAUAAGCACCGGCUAACUACGUGCCAGCAGCCGCGGUAAUACGUAGGGUGCAAGCGUUAAUCGGAAUUACUGGGCGUAAAGCGUGCGCAGGCGGUUUGCUAAGACCGAUGUGAAAUCCCCGGGCUCAACCUGGGAACUGCAUUGGUGACUGGGCAGGCUAGAGUAUGGCAGAGGGGGGUAGAAUUCCACGUGUAGCAGUGAAAUGCGUAGAGAUGUGGAGGAAUACCGAUGGCGAAGGCAGCCCCCUGGCAAGUACUGACGCUCAUGCACGAAAGCGUGGGGGAGCAAAACAGGAUUAGAUACCCUGGUAGUCCACGCCCUAAANGAUGUCAACUAGUUGUUGGGGGAUUCAUUUCCUUAGUAACGUAGCUAACGCGUGAAGUUGACCGCCUGGGGGAGUACGGUCGCAAGAUUAAAACUCAAAUAAUUGAC